RNAcentral lists this ribosomal RNA (253 nucleotides) under uncultured bacterium. RNAcentral's name for it is "partial 16S ribosomal RNA". It matches the Rfam family "Bacterial small subunit ribosomal RNA", at positions 524 to 776 of the family's 1533-position model. The record is from RNAcentral.
UACGUAGGUGGCAAGCGUUGUCCGGAUUUACUGGGCGUAAAGAGCGCGCAGGCGGUCGUGCAAGUCGCGUGUGAAAGCCCCCGGCUCAACUGGGGAGGGUCACGCGAUACUGCUCGACUUGAAGGCAGGAGAGGGAAGUGGAAUUCCCGGUGUAGUGGUGAAAUGCGUAGAUAUCAGGAGGAACACCAAUGGCGAAGGCAGCUCGCUGGGACGUGACUGACGCUGAGACGCGAAAGCGUGGGGAGCAAACAGG